Long non-coding RNA from Solanum dulcamara, 624 nucleotides. RefSeq lists it as uncharacterized. The transcript is spliced from 2 exons. Lineage: Eukaryota; Viridiplantae; Streptophyta; Magnoliopsida; Solanales; Solanaceae. The record is from RefSeq and is a predicted model, not a curated record.
ACUACAAAUGUAACUGAUUAUUAAUUUUGGAACUGAUUUUUCUUUUAAAAACAGCAAGAAAACAACAAAAAGAAAAAUCAUUUUUCUUAUUCACAUCCAAAACAGACAUUUAGUUUUGUGAACACAAUACUCUUGUUUCCAAGAGAGAUGAAGUGGACUUGGGGCAAUUCAUAGUCGUAGCAAAUUCAACACUUCUGCUGUAAAUAAAAGACUCAGGAUCCUCCGACCAUGUGAGUUGAGAUAGAGAAGCGUUUGUGGAGUUCAGUCAAGUUUCACCUGGAUCAAGAUGGAUAUAUGUAGGAAAUAAUGCAAGAUUUGAAGUCAAAGAGAUUGACACUUGCAAAGUUGACUUGCGUGGUGGCCGAUCUUUGAUGUUGCAUGACGUCUUAUAUGCUCCAGAGAUUCGACGAAACUUAGUACCUAUAUCUGUUCUUUUAGAUGUUGUUUUUGAUUUGUUUUUUAGUCGUAAUGGUGUUCGAAUAACUCUAGAUAAUGUCUUUUAUGGUUUUGAAUUUCGUUAUGAUCGAUUUAUCAAUUUAAAUUGUAAUGCUUCAACUUAUGACUAUUAUGUUGACCGUUGUGUAAUGACAUGUUAUUCUAGUAACAAUGAUAUUGAUUUUAUUA